Molecule: RNA transcript, 2889 nt
Organism: Vidua macroura (Pin-tailed whydah)
Lineage: Eukaryota; Metazoa; Chordata; Aves; Passeriformes; Viduidae
Gene: MAP3K7CL
Gene name: MAP3K7 C-terminal like
Exons: 5
Source: RefSeq, a predicted model, not a curated record
CGCGGGGGCGGGCGGGCCGGAGCCGCGCCGGGCUUGUGCCGCCCCUCAGGCCGCGCGGGGCCUGGGGAUCGCCCCGCUUAGGCCUGGCCUGGUUCGCAGCCGGGGGAGCGUUGGGAACAGUGGAACUGUUUUAAUGGUCACCGAUGAUAAACGUCGUAAAACUGAGCAGACUCCAGUCAAGCGUUUCAAUUAGUACGUACUAGUCCAAAUUGAAGUACAAUGCACAGUGUAUCUUGCACCACACUGCACCAAGGGAAGAAGAAAAUAUCCAUCCUGUUCUAGGGUCAAGAUACUUUAUAAAGCAACUUCCGUAAUCUAAUGUUAGCCAUGGAGAACAGAGGAGCUAUGGGAACCUGAGCAAUGGAACAGAAGGGUUUGAAAACAUCUGCUGAAGUGUCCCGGGUUAAACACUACCCUUAUCCUGUGCUUCUCUCGCUUGUGCAGAGGACUGUAAGCUAAACAGGUAAGCAAGAUUUCCUUACCAUUUGGAAUUCUUACCUCAGUGUAUGCUCUCUCUGCUAUAGCUAAUCCAGUUAGCUUGAGUCACAGGAAAGCAUUUCUGGGGACUUUAGAGGAGUAUUGCCUUAGCAUGGAAGUGUUCAAAAGACUUUCAGAUGAGGCAGAGGGACAUGGUUCAGUGGUGGGUUUGGCACUGCUGGGGGAUCAGUUGGACACAAUGGUAUUUGAAACCUAAACGAUUCUGUGAUUCCACCUGCACAAAUGACAAGAAUUCAGAACUUCUACAGAACAAGCAAAUUGGAAAGGAUGAUAGUGUGAGAAAGGAAUCAAUGCUGCUUAUAUUGAGUUUGUAUUGCAGGUACAAUAAAGACGUGUUGUGACACUGGUAUGGUACUCAACAAAAUAUAAUCCAAGACCCUUUAUUUCAUGGGAGGUGGCAAAAUUGUUGAGAUCAUUCUUGUUUUGUUGCCGUAAGAAAAAAACAUAAUUGGGAAAAAAUGACAUGUCCUCUAGAUGGUGAGUUCUGUUUUGCUUGAGGAAAUGAAAUGCAGUAUCAGAUAAGGGCUAGCAAAAUACUUUUCCUCAGUUUUCAGCUUGGUCAUAUGGGAACUCUUAUCCAGUAGAGUGCACAGAAGCCUGGAAAUACCUGGAAAUAUAUGCCUACUGCUACUGAAAGUUCAGCUGAUAUUGUCAUGUGGGAAGGACUUACCAGGACCUAUGUGUUGAUGGAAACUUGGAGAACACCAAACUGAGGAGUAAGGGAAAUAGGAGUUUUAGGCUGUAAUUGGAAAAGAUAGGAAACAGUGGAAGAGAGGGGCAAACCCAGCAUUGAAUAAAUGAAGACUUCUGCAGAAAUAAUACCCAAAUGAAAUAAUGAAGAGUAGAAUAAAUAACAUCUAUCUGCAGCCUUCUGGAAACAAGCUGCUACCACACCUGAUUUGCAUUUCUUUCAGCUCUGAAAACACUAGCAAAAAAACAGUAGCUAAAAAGGCAGGAUUCUGAGAUCAAGACCACAACUUAUACUGUCGAGUGUCUGAGCCACUGACAUCUGUGAUCUUCUUUCUUCAUUUUGUCAUAUUGUGACUUUGAUGCCCAAUUUGGAAUUUUCUAAGGAUGGUCUAAACCAGUACUAGAUCUUCAGGAUAGAGACAAAGGUUUUUCCAAUUUUUAGUACUUUGUUUAUCUGCCUAAAUAAUUUUAAAGGCCUUCCCCAAGUAAGUAAAAAUUUUGUUUCUCAUAUUGUCCCCAUUAUGAUUUGAGGAUUAAUUUUAGGGUUGUUCAUCAUGUGUCAUCUGAAUAUACCUGUUGAAAAAUUCAUUCAUUCUCCAGAACUCACAUCAGUGGGAAUCUUCUGGCCCAGGGUGUGCAAGGACACUGUCCUUCUUGCUGCCAGCAUGGAAUGUGACCCACCAGCGUGACCUGGGGAACUUCAGCAUGUCCCAUUAUUUCCUGGCUACUCUGUCAGCCCCAUAUAUCUGCCAGCAGCUCAGAAAUUGGCCUGAAUCUGUGCCUGGUUGUGAAUUGAAAGAACUGUAAAGACACCCCUGCAGCCCUCAUUUCUCCACUGCAAAGCCUGCUCAGCUGUAACUAAGAACCAUAGCCACAUUAUGGAAAAUGCAUAGUCUUUCCUAUAUGGUUCUUGAGGUGUUUAAGGAAAUGUUAAUGAAUAAAUGCUGUGCACUUAUACAAAGCAGGAGAUACAACACCAUGUUGCCCAAAUAAGGGAAUCAUGCCAUAAUGUAGUAUGGGCCAAAACCCACAGAAUGGAUUCAUACCAAAAAUUGAGACUAUUGCAUGGGACUUGUUCUCAGUCUUGCACACUAAAUCCCCAAAGUGUGAUCUUCUGUUUGAGCAGUAGAUACACACUGUUACAGUUUUGGAGACAGGUAAGUGACAGGCACAUAAUGGGGUUCGUGCAGUAACUGCUUAAGUUUAUUAUGGGGCAGGUCCUUUUAUAGGGCUUUCAAAUUUCCUUCACUUACAGACAUGAUUGGUUACGGGUCUCAACUCCACUUAGCUUACUGGCUAAUGAUAUGGGAGCAUCUGUGCUUCAAAGGGGUUGGCUGAGGUCCUCUGUUUGGGUUUGAAUCUGACCUAUCAUUAUUGUGUCCAGGGACUUGUUUACUUCGAGCUAGGCUAGUCAAACUGGUAUCUGUUAAGCCAAAUUAUCUGUGCAGCUUAUAGACCCACUAUAGCUGUGUCCUAGGGUGACAGUAUGGUGCUUGUAUCCCAAAUCGUGUGUUCUGUUUAUGCCUGAUAUUAUAUUCUGUGCCUUCAGGACUGACUCUGAAAGUGAAGGAUUGUUUUGUCUUGUUAUCAGCCGGCUCACCUCCCCCCAUGGUCUGUAAACACCAAAAGUCUGCAUUUUUGUAACCUGCAGCAGCCAUCCCCAGCGCCGGAGACUGAUAGCUGGGCGACCACUCCCAGGAG